AUGCAUCUCCAUCUCGUCCUUCUGCGUCUGGUCCUUCUGCGUAUGUUCCUUCUGGGACUGGUUCUUCUGCUCUUGGUCCUUCGGGAACUGUUGUUUCUGCUUCUGCUGGUGCUUCUACUUCUAGUCCCUCUACGGCUGGGGUGUCUACACCGAAGUUCUCUGGUGAUCACAACGUAAGUUCAUGUCUUCGAAUUUUGGUUGUUUGAAUUUUCGUUCAUGUCUUCCUUAAUAACCCCAUUUCUUUCAUCUUAUUCAGCCCAAAGACUUCCAAACGCCAUUGCCUACUAUACACGAGGACAACGCAGACGAAAUCGAGGACG
This 320-nucleotide long non-coding RNA is filed under the name Arabidopsis lyrata. RNAcentral's name for it is "long non-coding RNA (ALYR_LNC000136)". Lineage: Eukaryota; Viridiplantae; Streptophyta; Magnoliopsida; Brassicales; Brassicaceae. The record is from RNAcentral.